UUCCAGACUCCUACGGGAGGCAGCAGUAAGGGAUAUUGGUCAAUGGGGGAAACCCUGAACCAGCAACGCCGCGUGAGGGAAGACGGUUUUCGGAUUGUAAACCUCUGUCCUCUGUGAAGAUGAUGACGGUAGCAGAGGAGGAAGCUCCGGCUAACUACGUGCCAGCAGCCGCGGUAAUACGUAGGGAGCAAGCGUUGUCCGGAAUUACUGGGCGUAAAGGGCGCGUAGGUGGGCGCUUAAGUCAGGUGUGAAAACUCCGGGCUCAACCUGGAGACUGCACUUGAAACUGGGUGUCUUGAGGGCAGGAGAGGAAAGUGGAAUUCCUAGUGUAGCGGUGAAAUGCGUAGAUAUUAGGAGGAACACCAGUGGCGAAGGCGACUUUCUGGACUGUACCUGACGCUGAGGCGCGAAAGCGUGGGUAGCGAACGGGAUUAGAUACCCCUGUA
RNAcentral lists this ribosomal RNA (446 nucleotides) under uncultured bacterium. RNAcentral describes it as "bacterial SSU rRNA". It matches the Rfam family "Bacterial small subunit ribosomal RNA", at positions 329 to 792 of the family's 1533-position model. The record is from RNAcentral.